RNAcentral lists this ribosomal RNA (253 nucleotides) under uncultured bacterium. RNAcentral's name for it is "partial 16S ribosomal RNA". It matches the Rfam family "Bacterial small subunit ribosomal RNA", at positions 524 to 776 of the family's 1533-position model. The record is from RNAcentral.
UACGGGGGGGGCAAGCGUUGUUCGGAAUUACUGGGCGUAAAGGGCUCGUAGGCGGCCAACUAAGUCAGACGUGAAAUCCCUCGGCUUAACCGGGGAACUGCAUCUGAUACUGGAUGGCUCGAGUUUGGGAGAGGGAUGCGGAAUUCCAGGUGUAGCGGUGAAAUGCGUAGAUAUCUGGAGGAACACCGGUGGCGAAGGCGGCAUCCUGGACCGGCAUUGACGCUGAGGAGCGAAAGCCAGGGGAGCAAACGGG